GAUGAACGCUGGCGGCGUGCCUAAUACAUGCAAGUCGAGCGAACGGACGAGAAGCUUGCUUCUCUGAUGUUAGCGGCGGACGGGUGAGUAACACGUGGAUAACCUACCUAUAAGACUGGGAUAACUUCGGGAAACCGUAGCUAAUACAGGAUAAUAUUUUGAACCGCAUGGUUCAAAAGUGAAAGACGGUCUUGCUGUCACUUAUAGAUGGAUCCGCGCUGCAUUAGCUAGUUGUUAAGGUAACGGCUUACCAAGGCAACGAUGCAUAGCCGACCUGAGAGGGUGAUCGGCCACACUAGAACUAAGACACGGUCCAGACUCCUACGGGAGGCAGCAGUAGGGAAUCUUCCGCAAUGGGCGAAAGCCUGACGGAGCAACGCCGCGUGAGUGAUGAAGGUCUUCGGAUCGUAAAACUCUGUUAUUAGGGAAGAACAUAUGUGUAAGUAACUGUGCACAUCUUGACGGUACCUAAUCAGAAAGCCACGGCUAACUACGUG
RNAcentral lists this ribosomal RNA (497 nucleotides) under uncultured bacterium. Its description in RNAcentral is "partial 16S ribosomal RNA". It matches the Rfam family "Bacterial small subunit ribosomal RNA", at positions 28 to 507 of the family's 1533-position model. The record is from RNAcentral.